RNAcentral lists this ribosomal RNA (588 nucleotides) under uncultured Actinomycetales bacterium. RNAcentral describes it as "bacterial SSU rRNA". It matches the Rfam family "Bacterial small subunit ribosomal RNA", at positions 312 to 916 of the family's 1533-position model. Lineage: Bacteria; Bacillati; Actinomycetota; Actinomycetes; Actinomycetales. The record is from RNAcentral.
ACGUUNNCCUGCGGUCGACGAUUCCUACGGGAGGCAGCAGGAGGGAAUAUUGCGCAAUGGGCGAAAGCCUGACGCAGCAACGCCGCGUGAGGGAUGACGGCCUUCGGGUUGUAAACCUCUUUCAGUGGGGACGAAAUUGACGGUACCCACAGAAGAAGCACCGGCCAACUACGUGCCAGCAGCCGCGGUAAUACGUAGGGUGCAAGCAUUGUCCGGAUUUAUUGGGCGUAAAGAGCUCGUAGGCGGCUUAACAAGUCGGUCGUGAAAUACCGAGGCUCAACCUCGGGGAGUCGGUCGAAACUGUUAUGGCUAGAGUACGGUAGAGGAGAGUGGAAUUCCCGGUGUAGCGGUGGAAUGCGCAGAUAUCGGGAGGAACACCAGUAGCGAAGGCGGCUCUCUGGGCCGUUACUGACGCUGAGGAGCGAAAGCGUGGGGAGCAAACAGGAUUAGAUACCCUGGUAGUCCACGCUGUAAACGUUGGGAACUAGGUGUUGCGGUCUGAUCAAUGACUGCGGUGCCGAAGCUAACGCAUUAAGUUCCCCGCCUGGGGAGUACGGCCGCAAGGCUAAAACUCAAAGGAAUUGACGG